Molecule: long non-coding RNA, 1094 nt
Organism: Gossypium arboreum
Lineage: Eukaryota; Viridiplantae; Streptophyta; Magnoliopsida; Malvales; Malvaceae
Exons: 2
Source: RefSeq, a predicted model, not a curated record
AACCUUACAAUUUUUUUAAAAAUCAGCCUAAUUUUAACGAUAAAUAUUAGUUCACAGUCAAUCAAAUUGUAGAUCAACAAAGUAACUUAUGUGGCAUGCCACAUAAGCAUAAUCUCAUAAUUUUUUUUUUCAUUUUAUUUCCUUUCUUACUUCUUCUUUCUUUCUCUCUUUCUUCUUCAUGGUUUUUGCAUUAGAUGGAAACCAAUAAAACAAAACCAACAAACUUCCUCAAGUAGCCUCUCACAAAUCCGUUCUCUAGAAAUCCACCUACCAAUGAUCUUGCUCCAUUGCGGUCUCUAUUGCCAAUGGAGCCUCCUGCAUCAACUAGUACAUGUGCAGCUCAAUUCGUUUUCCUCAUCACAUAUCUACCCAUGGGAAACUAAACAAAGCCUCUGUGCAAAGUCUAUUAACUCCUCCACUACUGUCAAACGUUCUAAGGUUUGAAAUCUUAUCUUCCUCAAUGGUGGAGAAAGAGGCAUUGUCGAAGCUCGCUAGGGCCAACCCACCAACUGAAGACAUGGAUCUCAAAACCUUAACUCCUUCGCCCAAAACCCUAAUGCCAGAGACGAUGCCAACAAUGACUUCGAAUCGAGUGCAAGAGAUAGGAAAAUGACGAAGAAACUGAAGACGUUUCUAAAAAGUAGAAACUAGAGAAGUCCGUAGAGGAAGAAAGGUUGGAGAAAAAGUCAGAUGGGUCACCGAAUUUGGGUCGUGUUCGGCUCGAUUCGAAGGAGUUCGGGUCGUCGUCGGAGAUGCUUGAUUACUUCUACUAUUUUCUUCACCAUUGAGGUACUCAACUGAACUUUAACAAGGAGUUUGAUCCCAUCCCAUGUGUUACGGCGGCGGUAAAAAAAGAGUGAAGGAGAUGGCGGUGCCGGCGGUAACGAAUCGAGAGAAGAAGGAAAGAUUUAAAAAAGUAAUAAACUUGGCAUUUAUUGACCUAGUCCUUUUCGUAUUUUUUGGAAAAAGGAGUUGGGUGGGUCCAUGCUUAUUUGGCUUUGUCGUUUAAUUUUUUUAAUUUAACCAAGUUUAUUUACCUCCAAAUAUUGUUCAGGUUUUAAGUUGAUUUAUAAAUUUAUAAAUAUUUUAAUUAA